CCUACGGGGGGCAGCAGUGGGGAAUAUUGCACAAUGGGGGAAACCCUGAUGCAGCGACGCCGCGUGAGUGAAGAAGUAUUUCGGUAUGUAAAGCUCUAUCAGCAGGGAAGAAAAUGACGGUACCUGACUAAGAAGCCCCGGCUAACUACGUGCCAGCAGCCGCGGUAAUACGUAGGGGGCAAGCGUUAUCCGGAUUUACUGGGUGUAAAGGGAGCGUAGACGGCCAGACAAGUCAGAAGUGAAAGCCCGGGGCUCAACCCUGGGACUGCUUUUGAAACUGCCGGGCUGGAGUGCAGGAGAGGUAAGCGGAAUUCCUAGUGUAGCGGUGAAAUGCGUAGAUAUUAGGAGGAACACCAGUGGCGAAGGCGGCUUACUGGACUGUAACUGACGUUGAGGCUCGAAAGCGUGGGGAGCAAACAGGAUUAGAUACCCGAGUAGUC
RNAcentral lists this ribosomal RNA (440 nucleotides) under uncultured bacterium. RNAcentral's name for it is "partial 16S ribosomal RNA". It matches the Rfam family "Bacterial small subunit ribosomal RNA", at positions 338 to 795 of the family's 1533-position model. The record is from RNAcentral.